Myodes glareolus (Bank vole) is the source of this 599-nucleotide non-coding RNA. NCBI's taxonomy places the organism in Eukaryota, Metazoa, Chordata, Mammalia, Rodentia, Cricetidae. The record is from RefSeq and is a predicted model, not a curated record.
CCGGAGGUCAGCAGGGGGCGCUCCCUGCCUUUUCUCGAUUUACUGUGGUCAGGGAAGCCUGCCACCCCUUGCUCCUUGGUACUCGUGGGGAACUCCGCCCCCAGCUUGCCCGGGGGUACGCGGACCAUCGCAAGUCCUCGCCACCCACACCACUGGUGCCCAGCACAAUCAAUCACUCGGAACGCGCUCACACACGGCUCCUCUCCGGGAUCCUAGCCAGCAGACGCUCAGGGCCUUCCAUCUGUCCCCUGCGGGGUCUCAGAUCCUGACGACCUGGGGCUCCCUUUUGCCGCGGGUGACUUAGGCGCCAGGCCUGCAGAGCUCAGGACCAGGAAGGAAUUCCGGGCAUUCCAGAGGGAGAAAUCAACCUAAGUGCUCCCCACACUGGGCAGUCUGCACAGUCAUCAGCUUAGAAAAUGGGGCCAGCCAGAUGACAGAGCACGGGAAGGUGCUUGCCACCAAGCCUGACACGGGAGUCCUGUCCCCAGAUCCCACCCACUGGAAGGCGAGAACAUGCUGCCGCAAGCUGUCCUCCGAUCUCCGCACCCACACGCGGCACACGCACGCCCCGUCCCAUAAAUAAACAAACGUAACAGCAA